RNAcentral lists this ribosomal RNA (432 nucleotides) under uncultured bacterium. RNAcentral describes it as "partial 16S ribosomal RNA". It matches the Rfam family "Bacterial small subunit ribosomal RNA", at positions 29 to 506 of the family's 1533-position model. The record is from RNAcentral.
AGCGAACGCUGGCGGCAGGCCUAACACAUGCAAGUCGAACGGAUCCUUCGGGAUUAGUGGCGGACGUGUGAGUAACACGUGGUAACGUGCCCUUUGGUUCGGAACAACUCAGGUUAACUUGAGCUAAUACCGGAUGUGCCCUUCGGGGGAAAGAUUUAUCGCCAUUGGAUCGGCCCGCGUCUGAUUAGCUAGUUGGUGAGGGAACCGCCCACCAAGGCGAGGAUCAGUAGCUGGUGUGAGAGGAUGAUCAGCCGCACUGGGACUGGGACCCGGCCCAGACUCCUACGGGCAGCAGCAGUGGGGAAUCUAGCGCAAUGGGCGAAAGCCUGACGCAGCCAUGCCGGGUGAAUGAUGAAGGUCUUAGGAUUGUAAAAUUCUUUCAGCGGGGACGGUAAUGACGGUACCCGCAGAAGAAGCUCCGGCUAACUUCGU